UACGGGGGGGGCAAGCGUUGUUCGGAAUUACUGGGCGUAAAGGGCUCGUAGGUGGCCAACUAAGUCAGACGUGAAAUCCCCAGGCUCAACUUGGGAACUGCGUCUGAUACUGGAUGGCUUGAAUUCGGGAGAGGGAUGCAGAAUUCCAGGUGUAGCGGUGAAAUGCGUAGAUAUCUGGAGGAAUACCGGUGGCGAAGGCGGCAUCCUGGACCGAGAUUGACACUGAUGAGCGAAAGCUAGGGAGCAAACGGG
Molecule: ribosomal RNA, 252 nt
Filed under: uncultured bacterium
Lineage: Bacteria
Description: partial 16S ribosomal RNA
Rfam family: Bacterial small subunit ribosomal RNA
Source: RNAcentral